This 652-nucleotide ribosomal RNA is filed under the name Bradyrhizobium sp. Its description in RNAcentral is "bacterial SSU rRNA". It matches the Rfam family "Bacterial small subunit ribosomal RNA", at positions 61 to 757 of the family's 1533-position model. The record is from RNAcentral. Lineage: Bacteria; Pseudomonadati; Pseudomonadota; Alphaproteobacteria; Hyphomicrobiales; Nitrobacteraceae.
GUCGAGCGGGCAUAGCAAUAUGUCAGCGGCAGACGGGUGAGUAACGCGUGGGAACGUACCUUUUGGUUCGGAACAACUGAGGGAAACUUCAGCUAAUACCGGAUAAGCCCUUACGGGGAAAGAUUUAUCGCCGAAAGAUCGGCCCGCGUCUGAUUAGCUAGUUGGUGAGGUAAUGGCUCACCAAGGCGACGAUCAGUAGCUGGUCUGAGAGGAUGAUCAGCCACAUUGGGACUGAGACACGGCCCAAACUCCUACGGGAGGCAGCAGUGGGGAAUAUUGGACAAUGGGCGCAAGCCUGAUCCAGCCAUGCCGCGUGAGUGAUGAAGGCCCUAGGGUUGUAAAGCUCUUUUGUGCGGGAAGAUAAUGACGGUACCGCAAGAAUAAGCCCCGGCUAACUUCGUGCCAGCAGCCGCGGUAAUACGAAGGGGGCUAGCGUUGCUCGGAAUCACUGGGCGUAAAGGGUGCGUAGGCGGGUCUUUAAGUCAGGGGUGAAAUCCUGGAGCUCAACUCCAGAACUGCCUUUGAUACUGAAGAUCUUGAGUUCGGGAGAGGUGAGUGGAACUGCGAGUGUAGAGGUGAAAUUCGUAGAUAUUCGCAAGAACACCAGUGGCGAAGGCGGCUCACUGGCCCGAUACUGACGCUGAGGCACGAA